AUACGGAGGGUGCAAGCGUUAUCCGGAAUCACUGGGUUUAAGGGUGCGUAGGCGGCUUGGUAAGUCAGGGGUGAAAGUCUGCCGCUCAACGGUAGAAUUGCCUUUGAUACUGCCAGGCUUGAAUAAGCGCGAGGCAGGCGGAAUGUGGCAUGUAGCGGUGAAAUGCAUAGAUAUGCCACAGAACACCAAUUGCGUAGGCAGCUUGCCAGAGCUUUAUUGACGCUGAGGCACGAAAGCGUGGGGAGCGAACAGGAUUAGAAACCCCAGUAGUCC
RNAcentral lists this ribosomal RNA (273 nucleotides) under uncultured bacterium. RNAcentral's name for it is "partial 16S ribosomal RNA". It matches the Rfam family "Bacterial small subunit ribosomal RNA", at positions 523 to 796 of the family's 1533-position model. The record is from RNAcentral.